GCGGGCGUAGUAUAGUGGUAUUACCCCAGCUUCCCAAGCUGGUGAGGAGGGUUCGAUUCCCUUCGCCCGCUCCA
This 74-nucleotide transfer RNA is filed under the name Gammaproteobacteria bacterium. RNAcentral's name for it is "tRNA-Gly". It matches the Rfam family "tRNA". From Rfam's summary of the family: Transfer RNA (tRNA) molecules are approximately 80 nucleotides in length. Their secondary structure includes four short double-helical elements and three loops (D, anti-codon, and T loops). Lineage: Bacteria; Pseudomonadati; Pseudomonadota; Gammaproteobacteria. The record is from RNAcentral.